This 775-nucleotide ribosomal RNA is filed under the name uncultured Neocallimastigales. RNAcentral's name for it is "partial large subunit ribosomal RNA". It matches the Rfam family "Eukaryotic large subunit ribosomal RNA", at positions 24 to 649 of the family's 3401-position model. The record is from RNAcentral. Lineage: Eukaryota; Fungi; Neocallimastigomycota; Neocallimastigomycetes; Neocallimastigales.
UACGACUACAUAUCAGGCAUAUCAAUAAGCGGAGGAAAAGAAGCUAACAAGGAUUCCCUUAGUAACGGCGAGUGAAGCGGGAAGAGCUCAAAUUUGAAAUCUUCAAGGUUCUACCUUGACGAAUUGUAGUUUAAAGAAGUGUUUUCUGUUAGAUGAGUAGCUAAAAGUUCCUUGGAAUGGGACAUCAUAGAGGGUGAGAAUCCCGUAUUUGGUUAUUCAUUCUAGCUUUGUGAUACACUUUCAAAGAGUCGGAUUGUUUGGGAAUGCAGUCCAAAAUGGGUGGUAAAUUUCAUCUAAAGCUAAAUAUUGGCGAGAGACCGAUAGCGAACAAGUACCGUGAGGGAAAGAUGAAAAGAACUUUGAGAAGAGAGUUAAACAGUACGUGAAAUUGUCAAAAGGGAAGCGUUUGACACCAGUGUUGUUUAGUUGAAAAUCAAUUCAAUAGUUUUUGAUUCUAAGUAGUAUUGACUUCAUCAGCUUGCUGCUUUCUUCUCAGAAAUUAUUGAAUGCACUUUUCAGUUAACAAGUCAACAUCAAUUUCUUUUGUUGUAAAAGGGUAAGAGGAAGGUGGCUUGCGCUUCGGCUCAAGUGUUUAUAGCCUUUUAUCUCUGCAAUCGGAGAGAUUGAGGUCUGCAGCGUAGAUCCUUCGGGGUUAGAUACAUUGGUGCUAAGCUAUAGCCUUGUAUAGACAACUUGUUGACUAUGCUCAGUCAUGUAGCUUACUCGCUGAUGCUAUUUUACCUACGCUUAGGAUGUUGAGUAGCGACAUACGCAC